Molecule: ribosomal RNA, 460 nt
Filed under: uncultured bacterium
Lineage: Bacteria
Description: partial 16S ribosomal RNA
Rfam family: Bacterial small subunit ribosomal RNA
Source: RNAcentral
CCUACGGGUGGCAGCAGUGAGGAAUAUUGGUCAAUGGGCGCGAGCCUGAACCAGCCAAGCAGCGUGAAGGAUGACGGCCCUACGGGUCGUAAACCUCUUUUAUAAAGGAACAAAGUGAGGCACGCGUGCCUUUCUGUAUGUACUUUAUGAAUAAGCAUCGGCUAACGCCGUGCCAGCAGCCGCGGUAAUACGGAGGAUCCGAGCGUUAUCCGGAUUUAUUGGGUUUAAAGGGAGCGUAGACGGGGUGUUAAGUCAGUGGUGAAAGUGUGCGGCUCAACCGCAGACGUGCAAUUGGUACUGGGAGCCGUGAGUGCGGUGGAGGGAGGCGGAAUGCGUGGUGUAGCGGUGAAAUGCAUAGAUAUCGCGCAGAACGCCGAUUGCGAAGGCAGCCUGCUGAGCUGCCACUGACGUUGAGGCUCGAAAGCGUGGGUAUCGAACAGGAUUAGAUACCCUUGUAGUC